RNAcentral lists this ribosomal RNA (253 nucleotides) under uncultured bacterium. RNAcentral's name for it is "partial 16S ribosomal RNA". It matches the Rfam family "Bacterial small subunit ribosomal RNA", at positions 524 to 776 of the family's 1533-position model. The record is from RNAcentral.
UACGUAGGGGGCGAGCGUUGUCCGGAGUUACUGGGCGUAAAGCGCACGCAGGCGGUCUGCUAAGUUUGGAGUGACAGUUGGUGGCUUAACUGCCAAAGUGCUUCGAAAACUGACAGACUUGAGGGCUUCAGAGGGACACGGAAUUCCGGGUGGAGUGGUGAAAUGCGUAGAGAUCCGGAGGAACACCAAAGGCGAAGGCAGUGUCCUGGGGAGUACCUAACGCUCAGGUGCGAAAGCCAGGGGAGCGAACGGG